GGGGCAGUGGCUCAGCUGGAAGAGCGCCUCCCUCGCACGGAGGAGGUCGUGGGUUCGAAUCCCAUCUGCUCCA
This 73-nucleotide transfer RNA is filed under the name bacterium. RNAcentral's name for it is "tRNA-Ala". It matches the Rfam family "tRNA". Rfam says of the family: Transfer RNA (tRNA) molecules are approximately 80 nucleotides in length. Their secondary structure includes four short double-helical elements and three loops (D, anti-codon, and T loops). Further hydrogen bonds mediate the characteristic L-shaped molecular structure. tRNAs have two regions of fundamental functional importance: the anti-codon, which is responsible for specific mRNA codon recognition, and the 3' end, to which the tRNAs corresponding amino acid is attached (by aminoacyl-tRNA synthetases). tRNAs cope with the degeneracy of the genetic code in two manners: having more than one tRNA (with a specific anti-codon) for a particular amino acid; and 'wobble' base-pairing, i.e. permitting non-standard base-pairing at the 3rd anti-codon position. RNAcentral also lists the same sequence under 1 other name. The record is from RNAcentral.